Molecule: small nuclear RNA, 190 nt
Organism: Penaeus indicus
Lineage: Eukaryota; Metazoa; Arthropoda; Malacostraca; Decapoda; Penaeidae
Product: U2 spliceosomal RNA
Exons: 1
Source: RefSeq, a predicted model, not a curated record
AUCGCUUUCUCGCCUUUUGGCUAAGAAUCAAAGUGUAGUAUCUGUUCUUAUCAGCUUUAAUAUCGAUACAAUCCCAUGUGGGAUCUACGAUAUUAAACUUAUUUUUGGAAUGGCGAAGUGCUAAGGGGCGGCUCCACCUUUGCCGGGAGUCGUCCCGGGAUUGCGUACCUCCGGGAUUGGUGUGUCUGCU